GUAGGUGGCAAGCGUUGUCCGGAAUUAUUGGGCGUAAAGCGCACGCAGGCGGUCCUUUAAGUCUGAUGUGAAAGCCCACGGCUCAACCGUGGAGGGUCAUUGGAAACUGGGGGACUUGAGUACAGAAGAGGAAAGCGGAAUUCCAAGUGUAGCGGUGAAAUGCGUAGAGAUUUGGAGGAACACCAGUGGCGAAGGCGGCUUUCUGGUCUGUAACUGACGCUGAGGCGCGAAAGCGUGGGGAGCAAACAGGGAUUAGAUACCCUGGUAGUCCACGCCGUAAACGAUGAGUGCUAAGUGUUAGGGGGUUUCCCGCCCCUUAGUGCUGCAGCUAACGCAUUAAGCACUCCGCCUGGGGAGUACGGCCGCAAGGCUG
RNAcentral lists this ribosomal RNA (373 nucleotides) under uncultured organism. RNAcentral's name for it is "partial 16S ribosomal RNA". It matches the Rfam family "Bacterial small subunit ribosomal RNA", at positions 527 to 896 of the family's 1533-position model. The record is from RNAcentral.